RNAcentral lists this non-coding RNA (311 nucleotides) under Symbiodinium sp. CCMP2430. Lineage: Eukaryota; Dinophyceae; Suessiales; Symbiodiniaceae. The record is from RNAcentral.
AGAAUGAACGUAAGCGUGAAUGAAAGGGGAAUGAAAGAAAGAGAAACACAAAACCAUUCAUCUCCUCUGGCUGUUCAUGAGUCCUUUGUUCCUUGUGCUUUUCUUCUUUCUAUUUGGUUGAAUUGUAAUGGUAAGGAAGUUAAGCACGAAUUCAACCAAGUGAAAUGAAGAAAAAGCACAAGAAACAAAGAGGAAUGAACGGAAUGCGUGCGUUCUCUUCAUUUCCUUACCAUUCCGUUCAUUCAUCACUCACUCAACAAUCUUAUAGUUGGAGAAGUGGUUCGUUUCUUUCUUCUUUUCACUUGAUUACA